GGCCUACCAUGGUGGUAACGGGUAACGGGGUGUUAGGGCACGACACCGGAGAGGGAGCCUGAGAAACGGCUACCACAUCCAAGGAUGGCAGCAGGCGCGCAAAUUACCCAAUCCCGACACGGGGAGGUAGUGACAAUAAAUAACAAUACGGGGUUCUUUAGGAUCUCGUAAUUGGAAUGAGUACAAUUUAAAUCUCUUAACGAGGAACAAUUGGAGGGCAAGUCUGGUGCCAGCAGCCGCGGUAAUUCCAGCUCCAAUAGCGUAUAUUAAAGUUGUUGCAGUUAAAAAGCUCGUAGUUGAAUUUCGGGGUUAGUAAGUUGGUCAUGCCUUUGGUAUGCACUGGCUUUACUGAUUCCUCCUUCUUGACGAACCAUGACGUCAUUAAUUUGGUGUUGCGGGAAAUCAGGACUGUUACUUUGAAAAAAUUAGAGUGUUUAAAGCAGGCUAACGCUUGAAUACAUUAGCAUGGAAUAAUGAAAUAGGACGUUAAUCCUAUUUUGUUGGUUUCUAGGAUCGACGUAAUGAUUAAUAGGGAUAGUUGGGGGCAUUAGUAUUCAAUUGUCAGAGGUGAAAUUCUUGGAUUUAUUGAAGACUAACUACUGCGAAAGCAUUUGCCAAGGAUGUUUUCAUUAAUCAAGAACGAGAGUUAGGGGAUCGAAGACGAUCAGAUACCGUCGUAGUCUUAACCAUAAACUAUGCCGACUAGGGAUCGGAUGAUGUUAAUUCUUUAAUGACUCAUUCGGCGCCUUACG
This 752-nucleotide ribosomal RNA is filed under the name uncultured Glomus. Its description in RNAcentral is "SSU rRNA". It matches the Rfam family "Eukaryotic small subunit ribosomal RNA", at positions 338 to 1092 of the family's 1831-position model. Lineage: Eukaryota; Fungi; Glomeromycota; Glomeromycetes; Glomerales; Glomeraceae. The record is from RNAcentral.